GCUUCAUUGGCUCAGUUGGCAGAGCGUCAGUCUCAUAAUCUGAAGGUCGCAAGUUCGAUCCUUGCAUGGAGCA
Molecule: transfer RNA, 73 nt
Organism: Absidia repens
Lineage: Eukaryota; Fungi; Mucoromycota; Mucoromycetes; Mucorales; Cunninghamellaceae
Rfam family: tRNA
About the family: Transfer RNA (tRNA) molecules are approximately 80 nucleotides in length. Their secondary structure includes four short double-helical elements and three loops (D, anti-codon, and T loops). Further hydrogen bonds mediate the characteristic L-shaped molecular structure. tRNAs have two regions of fundamental functional importance: the anti-codon, which is responsible for specific mRNA codon recognition, and the 3' end, to which the tRNAs corresponding amino acid is attached (by aminoacyl-tRNA synthetases). tRNAs cope with the degeneracy of the genetic code in two manners: having more than one tRNA (with a specific anti-codon) for a particular amino acid; and 'wobble' base-pairing, i.e. permitting non-standard base-pairing at the 3rd anti-codon position.
Source: Rfam